AAAUCUGCUAUAUUUACAACAUCUAUUUAAAGAGCAUAAUGUUCUGUUAAAUCUUUUUGGUACAGGGAAGCUGGACCACCUGUGAUGGUCCUUGUAACCUGAGAAUCAAGGGAAGGAUUGAAAUGACCUUGCAGUUCUAAGAGCAAGAUGUAGGCAUCUAGCUCCCCCAAGAAUCAAUGGAAAGCAGUAAGCACCUCUACAUUACUUGAGGGGUAUGAGUCCUCUGGAUGGAAAAUGAAGUGUGGAAUGGACCUUGUACCAAGUAAAAUGAACUCAUGCCUGGAUUUAAGGGCAACUGUUCUGGUUUUCCUCUGUUUUAGAGCAUAAUUCUCCUGGAGAAGUCUAGACUCAGCAAAUGGGAAUGUUUCCUGACUGCCAGGCGUGGGUGAGCCCUUGAACAGUGCCCUGGAUAGAUGCACGUCAGGGAGCAAAGUGGGUGUAGAACAUCCACCCUGUACAUGCCAGAGCCUGAUAGAAACAAAUAGGUUCAUAGGAAGGGGCCUGUGAUGCACAUCUACAAAUCUGCCAGGUGGAAUAAGAAGGAAUUGCAGACCACACUGUACUUAGCUCAGAAUAAGAGAAUAAGAUUAACA
This 593-nucleotide long non-coding RNA is filed under the name Zonotrichia albicollis (white-throated sparrow). RNAcentral's name for it is "lncRNA (ENSZALG00000003003.1)". Lineage: Eukaryota; Metazoa; Chordata; Aves; Passeriformes; Passerellidae. The record is from RNAcentral.